This is a long non-coding RNA of Trichechus manatus latirostris (Florida manatee), 1538 nucleotides long. RefSeq lists it as uncharacterized. The transcript has 2 exons. NCBI's taxonomy places the organism in Eukaryota, Metazoa, Chordata, Mammalia, Sirenia, Trichechidae. The record is from RefSeq and is a predicted model, not a curated record.
UUUUGAGUUUUCCUUCUCUGACAGGUUUAUGCCUUACACAGGUCCCGGCUUUUGCAGGUUUUACAGUACUUGGAUGUAGUUGUUUCAUCUAUUGCACUUGGCUACAAUUGUCACGUUUCUUCUUUUGUGCUUUCUCUUCUAAGAUUCCUCCUGAAGUUAGGUUUCUAUGGCUUUCGUUGGAACUGUGGAGAGUUUAUUUCAUAGUGUGAUUCCAGAUGACCCAUUCAACACAAAGAAGUGCUUCCAGAAGAGGUAGAACCUGAUAGUCAAGAGGGAGGGCUGUGGAUCCAAAUCCUGAUACUACAUUGACCAACCACAUGAUUUGUGGCAACUUAUUGCUCUUCUCUAAGCUUGAAGUUCCUCAUCUGUUAAAUAUAGCGUGAUGAUGAAAUCUAAGUAAGGUAAUGCAUACAGGUGGUUUAGAAUAACACUAGGAAGAUUCUAUAAAGCUUAAUUGUUGUUAUUGUCAUCCAAAAAGUUAUACUGUUGAAAUUCAAAAGAUUUUACUUGUGGGAAAUCUCUAAGUCCUAAGGUUAUUUGGAGUAGGCUGUGAGCUAUCUGUGUAAUAACCCCACUAUGAACCAUUCUUUGGUAAAAUCGCUGAAAUUAAUAACUAAUUACACUGGCUAGAUAUCCAUUUAAUUGCCUUCACCAUCUAUGACCAUCUUGGAGUAGGUAGGGAAAAUGAAAAAGAUUUCAGGUUAAUAGAAUUUUGAGUAAGUAUGUAUAAUGCAACUGUGGAUAGCUACUUCAACACAUUUAUUAAGUGUAUAUGGGCUAGGGGUACAAGUGAGGCGUAGAAUAUUUGAAAUAAUAGUAGUGCUAAAGUUUAAUGUCUUAAUAUCCUCUAUUGAAUAUGUAUCCCCAGGAGGAGACAGAAAAGAGCUCUAUGUCAAGGGUCUUGGGAUACACGAAAUAAGACAGCCACCAACUACAGAAGUCCCACCUCAACCAAUCAACCCUUGGAUGGUGCAAGAGAGGAUAUUUAUGUCAACUACCCAGCCUUCCCUCGUAAACCAAAGAUUAGAGCCUAAGCUUUUCCUUGAUCUGAGAAAAUUAACAAUGACUAUUAUGAACAUAAGAUCUUCGGACAAUCUCUUCUGUUACCCAGGGUCUACCUUAGAUAUAGGUUGACUGAAUUUAUUUCAUUUGAUAGGGAAAAUGUUGCGUUACCUAGAAAACAUUUUUAAUAGAAAUGUUUCAGAAAACCUGACUCUAAUUAACUUAUAAAUAAGAGGGAACUUACUGAAUGAUGUAAUGGAACCACCUAGGAGCAGAUCUAGCUUCAGGCAAGGCUUAUUUACUAGAGCUUAAAUGCUGUGUCUAGAAUUCAGUAUGAGCAUAAGCUGGUUUCUGAAUCCACUUCUUUGUGUUGGUCUUACUCUCAGUAUACUCUACCUUUGUGUUUGUGUUUCCAAGAUGGGUGCUGAUAACUUAUGGCGAUCCAUACAUCCUCGUUUCUAUCUGCUAGAAAGUUUGUUUCUCUGACAGAACAAACAAAUUGGGUUAUUUAUCCAUCAUUAAACCAGCAUCAUGAC